CCUACGGGAGGCUGCAGUGGGGAAUAUUGCACAAUGGGGGAAACUCUGAUGCAGCGACGCCGCGUGAGUGAAGAAGUAUUUCGGUAUGUAAAGCUCUAUCUGCAGGGAAGAUAAUGACGGUACCUGAGUAAUAUGCCCCGGCUAACUACGUGCCAGCAGCGGCGGUAAUACGCAGGGGGCAAGCGUUAUCCGGAUUUACUGGGUGUAAAGGGAGCGUAGACGGCUUGGCAAGUCUGAAGUGAAAGCCCGGGGCUCAACCGCGGGACUGCUUUGGAAACUGUGAAGCUGGAGUGCAGGAGAGGUAAGAGGAAGUCGGAGUGUAGCGGUGAAAUGCGUAGAUAUUAGGAAGAACACCAGUGGCGAAGGCGGCUUACUGGACUGUAACUGACGUUGAGGCUCGAAAGCGUGGGGAGCGAACAGGAUUAGAUACCCCAGUAGUC
This 440-nucleotide ribosomal RNA is filed under the name uncultured bacterium. RNAcentral's name for it is "partial 16S ribosomal RNA". It matches the Rfam family "Bacterial small subunit ribosomal RNA", at positions 338 to 795 of the family's 1533-position model. The record is from RNAcentral.